GUGCUCGCUUCAGCAGCACAUAUACUAAAAUUGGAAUGAUACAGAGAUUAGCAUGGCCCCUGUGCAAGGCCCCUGCGCUAUAUUAAAAUAAAAUGAGUAAACAA
RNAcentral lists this small nuclear RNA (104 nucleotides) under Mandrillus leucophaeus (drill). The record is from RNAcentral. Lineage: Eukaryota; Metazoa; Chordata; Mammalia; Primates; Cercopithecidae.